RNAcentral lists this long non-coding RNA (430 nucleotides) under Medicago truncatula (barrel medic). RNAcentral's name for it is "lncRNA gene34598". The record is from RNAcentral. Lineage: Eukaryota; Viridiplantae; Streptophyta; Magnoliopsida; Fabales; Fabaceae.
CGUUUUUCGUCGAUUUGUUUUGCUCUUCUCCUUCCUGUGACUGUUCCUCUUUAUUUAAUCCUCAUUUCGUUGCUUUUCCUUUCGGUGCUGCCGGUUGCAAAAAACAAGGAGUUUAUUAUGGGUGUCGAUCUCAUAUAUGGGUUUCCUUUUUCUAAUCUGAGUCGUCAGCUUCAUCUUCUGGCUUGGUUAAGCUGAUUCGGUUUCACGGGAGGUUUUGUGCAAGCUUCGUCGUUACCCUCAAUACACCGUUGUUCUGUUAUCAGCUGGUUUUUGUGUUUUUUUUUUCUCAUUUUAUGGGUUUGCUGGUUGUUUUGUGUGGUUUGCCGGAUUCUCUGUUGUCGGGUGGUAUGUUCGUUGGAGUCUUCGGUGGUUUUGUGUACUUGAUCAAAGAUUGGCGAUUCUAGAUUUUGGCCUUCUUGGUGGUUGGUUU